CUGUUGAUGACAGUCUCAUUGACAGAAAGUUGAUUGAAAGGCUCCUUAAAACCUCUUCUUAUCAUGUUACUGCGGUUGAUUCAGGAAGUAAGGCCUUGGAGUUUUUGGGUUUGAAUGAAGAUGAACACACAGAUUCAAUCCUGACUUCUGUUUCUUCAGACCAUCAUCAUCAUCAUCAUCAGGAUGUUGAAGUAAAUUUGAUCAUUACAGAUUACUGUAUGCCUGGGAUGACCGGCUAUGAUCUCCUUAGAAAGAUCAAGGAAUCUAAAACUUUUAAGGACAUACCAGUUGUGAUCAUGUCCUCAGAGAAUGUUCCAUCAAGAAUUGAUAGAUGCUUGGAAGAAGGAGCUGGAGAAUUCUUCCUGAAGCCAGUUCAAUUAUCAGAUAUGAACAAGCUUAGACCCCAUUUGAUGAGAGGAAAAGUUGAAGAAAAUAAGCCUAAUAACCAGACAAAGGGUGACAUGGAAGAAAUUCACUCACCACGGGGAACAAGAACAAGAUAUAAUGGCAUGGAAGUUGUCUGAUUAACAAAAUAUUUGCUUAAUUAUAGAGCAUAGUAUAGGAAAUUCCUAAAAAAUUUCCCCCCCUUCUUUUAAAAUCUCUUUGAAAACACAGGCUCAAUGCAAAUUUAGAUGAAUGUUGGAGCUUAAAUUAGGUUCCCCUGUAAAUUACUAACAAGGAAAAUAUUCAUUUACAUUUGCAUUGAGCCUGUGUUUUCAAAGAGAUUUUAAAAGAAGGGGGGGAAAUUUUUUAGGAAUUUCCUAUACUAUGCUCUAUAAUUAAGCAAAUAUUUUGUUAAUCAGACAACUUCCAUGCCAUUAUAUCUUGUUCUUGUUCCCCGUGGUGAGUGAAUUUCUUCCAUGUCACCCUUUGUCUGGUUAUUAGGCUUAUUUUCUUCAACUUUUCCUCUCAUCAAAUGGGGUCUAAGCUUGUUCAUAUCUGAUAAUUGAACUGGCUUCAGGAAGAAUUCUCCAGCUCCUUCUUCCAAGCAUCUAUCAAUUCUUGAUGGAACAUUCUCUGAGGACAUGAUCACAACUGGUAUGUCCUUAAAAGUUUUAGAUUCCUUGAUCUUUCUAAGGAGAUCAUAGCCGGUCAUCCCAGGCAUACAGUAAUCUGUAAUGAUCAAAUUUACUUCAACAUCCUGAUGAUGAUGAUGAUGAUGGUCUGAAGAAACAGAAGUCAGGAUUGAAUCUGUGUGUUCAUCUUCAUUCAAACCCAAAAACUCCAAGGCCUUACUUCCUGAAUCAACCGCAGUAACAUGAUAAGAAGAGGUUUUAAGGAGCCUUUCAAUCAACUUUCUGUCAAUGAGACUGUCAUCAACAGCAAGAACAUGGAACUGAUGAGACUCACCAGCCAUACCGAUAGUAAUUGCAA
RNAcentral lists this unclassified non-coding RNA (1374 nucleotides) under Hevea brasiliensis (rubber tree). The record is from RNAcentral. Lineage: Eukaryota; Viridiplantae; Streptophyta; Magnoliopsida; Malpighiales; Euphorbiaceae.